RNAcentral lists this long non-coding RNA (4337 nucleotides) under Sus scrofa (pig). RNAcentral describes it as "lncRNA (ENSSSCG00055024303.1)". Lineage: Eukaryota; Metazoa; Chordata; Mammalia; Artiodactyla; Suidae. The record is from RNAcentral.
UGUCUUUUUCUAGUUUAAUAUACCUUCCCCCUUAGAUCUCUGCAUUUGAAGAAAUCUCUUUCACAGUGUACUUCCCAGAGAGUGUUUUAUGUGAUUCUUAAUGCCCAGAGGGAACCUUUGAUCCAAAAUAUAAGGUCAGCAGCCAAAACCAGAAUUAGGGUGUCUGCCAUGGGAAAAGUCUACACAUUUCAGGAGGAUGGGUAAGGAUAAUUUGUGGAAAAGGCGAUGUUUCCCUCUUUCCCCCUUCAGUCUGGUGGCUGAUGUUUUUUAGGUCAGUCACCUCUGCCAAAGACAGAUUUUUGUCAUCAAAUAGGAACUAAACCCUGUGUCACAUGGGAAGUUUCUAGGACCUUUUUUCCCUUCUGUUGACACCCGUAUCUAUUGGCACUUGCAAUGGUCUUUUUCUAUUGCUCAGGUGAUAAGCAUCAUAUCAAGAUGCAAAUAAGGGAACAUUUUUUAUAUUUAAUAUUAAGGUAAAUUUACUCCUUCCCUCUCCCCCCACCAGGAACCUACCAUUCCUACUGACCAUACAGAAUCUUUUGCUAUAGGCCAGGGAGUGAAAUAGCAGAUUAUGUUCUUCACUUCACAGGACCCUGAACUAAGAAUUCUGCACACCUUAUAUGAUAUUGGGGUUAUACAGAAUAUAAAGUACAGAUUAAUAGCCAACCAGUCAUAUUAAAAUGCACCAAAGACAUAACGAUAUCUUGAAACCUCACCAUAGAAAGAAAAGUUCUGUGUAGAUACUUCUGUAAACAAAUCUAGAAAAGUUCAAUUUUACUUGCUUGUAAAAAGUUUUAUAGCCAUGGAAAUGUCUAAAAUUAAGCAAUACUAGAGAAAAACUAAUUUACUUUUCAAAAGAUGAUUCAAGUCUAGAAGUGAGUUUGUUAUCACACGGUAAUUUGCUAAACUGAAGCAGGAGUUAUUUUGGAUUGAAUUUGUUACAUAGCUCAUGCAUGAAAUGAUCUGUUGCUUGUUCUUGUGAAGUUGUUUUCACACUCGGAAACAGCAGAGGGGAAAAAAAAUGUAUUCUGUCUGAGGCAUUGUAAAAAUAUUGAAGGCUCUGUCUGAGGUUUUUUGUAGAGGUAUCUGACUAGAACUUGUCAUUUACACUUUACAGGCCAAUAAUUGUUAAGCCAAAAUCGCAGAUGCUUAGCUUUCAGAAUCAUUUCUUAAUGUAGACUGUUCAGAGACCGAUUCAGGCAUCUUGAAACUGUCACUCAUGUGAUUACACUGCCAUCGUGUGGUUUUAAAGAUCCCCUUCAAUUGAAAAAAAAAAUCAAAAUAAAUGGCCUCUGACUUACAAAAAGGAAAUUGUAAUAAUCCAAGUAUUGUCUCUGUUUUUGUUUGUUUGUCCUCUAUCACAAUACCACACAUAGUCCAGGGAUGACCACUGGUAGUUGAACAGAGGUAUAGGCAUGCUUCUAAUAAAUGUGCAAAAGUUUCCAGGGAUUUAGCUUCUGCCCAGUGAAUGCCAUCAAGACGCUUGCUAGGAUAUGCCACUUUUACUGACCUUUUCUGCAUGAAUCUGGCAUUUGCAAUAUCCAGAAAAAUCUGAAAAAUUCCCUAUAGAUAGCUUUAUGUAAGUGGAUCUCACAAUGGAGUCCCUGAAACAGCAGAAUCAGCAUCCCUGGAGAAGUAGGUAGAAAUUCUAAUUCUUCAGUUCCAUCCUGUACCAAACCAGAGAGAGACUCCAGUGAUGGGACCCAGAAAUCUGUUUUUUGUUUUUGUGGGUUUUUUUGUCUUUUUUAGGGCUGCACCCGUGGCAUGUGGGGAUUCCCAGGCUAGGGGUCCGAUUGGAGCCUCAGCUGCUGGCCUACGCCACAGCCACAGCAACACCUGAUCCAAGCUGCAUCUGUGACCUACACCACAACUCACGGCAAUGCCAGAUCCUUAACCCACUGAGUGAGGUCAGGGAUCAAACCCACAUCCUUGUGGAUACUAAUCAGGUUCAUUACUGCUGAGCCGCAAUGGGAACUCCAGAAAUCUGUGUUUUUAACAGACUUUCCAGGUAAUUCUGAUGCUUGCUAAGGUUUGAGAAUCACUGCUGUAGACAAUUGCACCUGUCCUUGGGUGUAUGAACACAUUUCCCUAGACAGAACUAAAGUCAGUAACUGCUCCUGGCCCACCAAAAAUGCCAAAGGAAAUGGAAGAGAAGGGCACCCAGACUUCCUUUGAAUAUGGUUGCCCAGCACUUGGGUGCCCCCCUGGGGAGGAAGAAACAGAACAUCUGUGAAGUCCGCAUUCUCAUCAGCUGGGGAUUAUUGGCACCUAUGGAAGCAGCAAUUUGAUGUGAGUAUAUGUUAUAUAUAAGACCACUUUUUCAGACAUUAAAAAUACAGUUUUAAAGAGUUCCCUGGUGGACUAGUGGUUAAGGAUCUGAUGUUGUCACUGCUGUGGCACAGGUUCCAUCCCUGGCCUGGGAACUUCCACAUGCUGAGGGUACGGCCAAAAAAAAAAAAAAAAAAAAAUGCAGUUGUAAGAAGGGAAUCAAAAAAUGUGAAAACGCCCCAGGCUCUAAAAAGUGCUAAAAACUAUUUGGACGGCAUGGUGAUGUCCUGCCCUGUCACAGCAACUUCCCAAUGCCUCUGACUGGCUAAGCAGGAAGGUUGGCCCUCGGCUGCCAGGACUUCUGACUGCUUUAAGAAGAGCCAGAAAUCAGAUUUUUUUAUGUGCCAUAUUCCCUGUUUUACGUGUGAGCUCCAUUUUAAGUGCCUGUCUGAUUAAAAAAAUGAGAGCUGUUUGUUCAGUCUACUGACCUCCCAAAUGUGCUCUGGGCUGCACAGUUGGGGAAAAUUGUGGCUGUCCACCUCAACACACAUUUAGGACCAUGUGCGUAUCUUGUGCGCAAAUGAUUUGCAUGUGUGUGUUUUCAUCUCUGUGAAAUUUAUACAUACUAAGCAUGGAAAUCCAGUGUCUCAGCACAUGAGGGAAAUACUGUAUUCAGCCAUGAAGACGCUUCAGACUGAAUAAUGCUGCGUGUUAAUAAUCUGGCUCAUCUCUGUGAAGGCACUGGUUCAAUUCCUACCCGAUACAGUGGGUAAAGGAUUGGGCAUUGCUGCAGCUGUGGUGUAGGUUGCAGCUACGGCUCAUAUAUGGAACUUCCACAUGCCUUAGGUGCGGCUGAAAGGGAAAACAAAUAAUGUAUAUGCUUUGAGAAGAAAAUAAUAGUUUUUCUACAAAUGUGAAGUAUGUUUUCACACUUAAAAAUUUUAUAAAUUUCCCAGUAUACAUACAAUAAAAGUAAUGAGGAUAUACAGAUCCCUUGCAGUGUGACUUAUUCUUAAGGACAUAUAAAGUACUUCAAAAAUAUCCAGCUCAUGAAUAAAUUUAGGUACUCAAUUGGAGCAAAAAUCAUGUUUUAAUAUGUGUGCACACACACAUGCACGCACACACACACACAUAUCCCUGGCUCUGAAAGAAAUGCUUAAGAAAUAACUGCUGAAUUAAUAGAAGCCUAAGUACUGGCUCAGGUGUUACCAAGUGAAUCUCUUUACCAGGCAUGCUCUCUCUGGCCUGACCCUCACUGUGGUCACUGUAUCCAAGACUCAGAGAAUGCUGCCUUACUUAUUUCACUACAACUUGUAGAUUUUCUGAAAAACUUUAGGAAUAUAACCAACUUUAGAUAGAUUCUGUUUUUCUCUAUAGUUUCUUUCCAAAUCUAAUAACAUUCCAGUAGCUCAACUGCUGACAGUAUCUUUAAAGUUUUCUGAUAGGAGAAUUGGUUCUGGGGUAGGUUACAAUAUUCACUCUGAGCCAAAAGUCAUUUCAGUCACUGGAGACCAAUGUCUGGAUAUAUUCCUACCCUUCUCUAUACAACAGACUCUCCUGGGGGAGCUAGUUCUUCAGAUGUGUUGCCAGUUUUUCUCCUCAUAGAUUCUGGGGGUUUAAGAGAAUCUCCCUAGGGAGUUCCUGUUGUGGUGCAGCAGAAACGAAUCCGGCUAGGAACCAUGAGGUUGUGGGUUCGAUCCUUGGCCUCUCUCAGUGGGUUAAGGAUCCGGUGUUGCCGUGAGCUGUGGUGUAGGCUGGCAGCUAUAGCUCUGAUUAGACCCGUAGCCUGGGAACCUCCAUAUGCCGUGGGUGUGGCCCUCAAAAGACAAAAAAAAAAAAAAAAAAAAAGACACACGAGAAAAGGGUAUCUCCCUAAAAUGCAUAUACUCUUGGGAGAGAUGAAAACAUGAUGUCUUCCUCAUCCACUCAUUAAAUAUUAUUGGGAAUUUUCUAUUGCAAUUGGAGGGAGCCAGAUGGAUAUGGCAAAGACUUCUACAUGAUUUCUAACCAGAAGAAGCACAGAAACCAGGAACCAAAACAAACAAUUGCAGAACAGUAUAAUUAAGGUG